CGACCUCGGGCUGUACGGGACUACCCGGUGGAUUUAAGCAUAUUAAUAAGCGGAGGGAAAACAAA
This 65-nucleotide ribosomal RNA is filed under the name Bactericera trigonica. Its description in RNAcentral is "partial 28S ribosomal RNA". The record is from RNAcentral. Lineage: Eukaryota; Metazoa; Arthropoda; Insecta; Hemiptera; Triozidae.